GCCGCCAACAGCCGUGCAGCUGUUCCGCCACCACCGGUAUCUAUCUUCCUUCUAGUGAAUUAGGGCAAUAUAACAGGACGACACAAUGAGAUUGGAAAAAUGUUGGUUUUGUUCCUCAACUGUAUAUCCAGGCCAUGGUAUUCAAUUUGUUCGAAACGAUGCAAAGAUCUUUCGGUUCUGUAGGUCUAAGUGCCACAAGAACUUUAAGAUGAAGAGGAAUCCUCGUAAAGUUAAAUGGACUAAAGCAUAUAGACGGCUGCAUGGAAAGGACAUGACUCAGGACUCAACAUUUGAAUUCGAGAGGAAGCGUAAUAGGCCAGAGAGAUAUGACAGGAAUGUAACUGAGAACACUUUGAAGGCCAUCAAGAAAAUUGAUAAAAUCAGAGUUGACAGGGAGGAGAGACAUAUUGCAAAGAGGAUGAAAGGAAAUAAAGCCAAGGAGCAGAGAGAAGCAACAAAGGAGCUCGAGCAGAGCAUUCACAUGGUCAAAGCUCCUUCUGUGCUCUUCAAAGAGCCAUCACUUACACUACCUACCAAGGUCAAGGUUUUGCAAAAGCAGUCAGAGGAAAAUCGCAUGGAGGAAUGAACAUUUCGCUUCCCAUAUUCUAUUUUUUCAAACUAAAAAAACACUAAAUCGGUCCAUACUUAUUUUUGCAGUAUGUAUAACAUUUUGAUGACAUUGACAUGCUAAGCUUUCCCUUACCUUCAGAAUAGUAAUGGUUUUUCGACUUAGUCUUGUGCGUAGAAUUUUUUGAACUUCCUAUAUGAGUAUUUUGAUGAGGUACGGUUCCUAGUUUG
This 798-nucleotide unclassified non-coding RNA is filed under the name Hevea brasiliensis (rubber tree). The record is from RNAcentral. Lineage: Eukaryota; Viridiplantae; Streptophyta; Magnoliopsida; Malpighiales; Euphorbiaceae.